GACUCUUUUAUUUCUUUUCAACAAAGACAUCGCUAGAGUCAUUUAGUGUAGGUAACACCAACUUGGGUGCAUGAUUUCGUUUGUCCACGGUCAAGGUCAUGGGCUCAUGGCAGGUGAUACCAGCAGAUUGGAUUCAAAAAUCGAAAUGUGCGGGCAAAUCAGGGAUCAGCCGAAGGCGACGAGCCGACGACAUAAAUAAGAAAUAAUUGACAGUCGUAUUUAUUAUUAUUUAGCUUGUGGCAUGCUUGUGGCCUUUGUGGAUUCGUUCUGUUGUGGCUCAGAUGUGAGAUUAUAGUCAGAGUAGUGUGUCAUUAGAUUUUAGUGUCAUUUCAGAUUCUAGUCAGAGAAGUGUGUCGUUAUAUUUUACAUUUCCAAACUACUCGUGCCGUACAGUUAAACAUACUCAUCGGAUACUCAUCGUCAUCGGAAGCCAUAUUAAGGCUAUAAUUGCAAUCAUGCUGAAAUCAUUGAAAUGUGUAGUUCAGUGUUUAGAACACUCUGUUUCUCCAGACAAGAAUGUAUUAGCUGAAGCCCAACUGAAGUUGGAAAAGUGUGCGAAGAAAAAUAUGGGUCAAUUUAUUACCAAUUUGUCCAUUGUAAUUGAAGAUCAAAAAAGUUUACCUGAAGUUCGUCAAGCGGCUUCCCUA
Molecule: long non-coding RNA, 647 nt
Organism: Daphnia pulicaria
Lineage: Eukaryota; Metazoa; Arthropoda; Branchiopoda; Diplostraca; Daphniidae
Exons: 3
Source: RefSeq, a predicted model, not a curated record